UGGGGAAUAUUGCACAAUGGUCGCAAGCCUUAUGCAGCCAUGCCGCGUGUAUGAAGAAGGCCUUCGGGUUGUAAAGUACUUUCAGCGAGGAGGAAGGCAUUAAGGUUAAUAACCUUUGUGAUUGACGUUACUCGCAGAAGAAGCACCGGCUAACUCCGUGCCAGCAGCCGCGGUAAUACGGAGGGUGCAAGCGUUAAUCGGAAUUACUGGGCGUAAAGCGCACGCAGGCGGUUUGUUAAGUCAGAUGUGAAAUCCCCGGGCUCAACCUGGGAACUGCAUUUGAAACUGGCAAGCUUGAGACUAGUAGAGGGGGGUAGAAUUCCAGGUGUAGCGGUGAAAUGCGUAGAGAUAUGGGGGAAGACCGGUGGCGAAAGCGGGCCCCUGGACAAAGACUGACGCUCAGGUGCGAGAGCGUGUGGAGCAAACA
This 427-nucleotide ribosomal RNA is filed under the name uncultured bacterium. RNAcentral's name for it is "bacterial SSU rRNA". It matches the Rfam family "Bacterial small subunit ribosomal RNA", at positions 355 to 774 of the family's 1533-position model. The record is from RNAcentral.